CCUACGGGUGGCAGCAGUGGGGAAUAUUGGGCAAUGGGCGCAAGCCUGACCCAGCAACGCCGCGUGAAGGAAGAAGGCUUUCGGGUUGUAAACUUCUUUGGAGAGGGAAGAGCAGAAGACGGUACCUCUUGAAUAAGCCGCGGCUAACUACGUGCGAGCAGCCGCGGUAAUACGUAGGUGGCAAGCGUUGUACGGAUUUACUGGGUGUAAAGGGCGUGUAGCCGGGCUGACAAGCCAGGAGUGAAAAUCCGGGGCUCAACCCCGGACCUGCAUUUGAAACUGUUGGUCUGGAGUAUCGGAGAGGCAGGCGGAAUUCCUAGUGUAGCGGUGAAAUGCGUAGAUAUUAGGAGGAACACCAGUGGCGAAGGCGGCCUGCUGGACUACGACUGACGGUGAGGCGCGAAGGCGUGGGGAGCAAACAGGAUUAGAUACCCGGGUAGUC
RNAcentral lists this ribosomal RNA (442 nucleotides) under uncultured bacterium. RNAcentral describes it as "partial 16S ribosomal RNA". It matches the Rfam family "Bacterial small subunit ribosomal RNA", at positions 338 to 795 of the family's 1533-position model. The record is from RNAcentral.